GCCCUGAUUCUCUAGUUAAUAACUUAGACACAUGCCGGCCUGGGGACAGAAGGUGCUAGAACAGAGCAAAGGAAAUCCAGAUGGGCUAUUUCCAUUUGUGCUGGGGCCUGUCUCUACACCUCUGCCACCUUU
This is a small nucleolar RNA of Acomys russatus (golden spiny mouse), 132 nucleotides long. RefSeq annotates it as small nucleolar RNA SNORA55. Lineage: Eukaryota; Metazoa; Chordata; Mammalia; Rodentia; Muridae. The record is from RefSeq and is a predicted model, not a curated record. The transcript has a single exon.